Molecule: long non-coding RNA, 1980 nt
Organism: Heterocephalus glaber (naked mole-rat)
Lineage: Eukaryota; Metazoa; Chordata; Mammalia; Rodentia; Bathyergidae
Source: Ensembl
GCCACGAGCUGCAGGUGCCUCUCGGGCGGGCGCUCCUUUGGGCAGGCAUCAAAGAGUACCAAAAAAGGAUAUUGAUUCAUUUUACCAUUUUAAAAGUUAUGUAUUGUACAUCACAUUUUUUGUCACUAGGCUUAAACAUCCACAGUUUGAAAACAAAGAAACUCAGAGCAGUAGUGAUCUGGCAUAGCACAAGAGUUCAUGCUGCUUUUCCCAGUAUUCUCAUUCUUCAACCAUGCAUUGAUUCACCAGCUUCCAGAGUGAUGAGAGCAGGGAUUUGAGUACUGUUCGACUAGUGACAGCUGGCACCGUCACAAGUGGCGCCCAAACAGGGACCUGAGCAUGGAGGACAAGGUGAAGGACGCCGCUGGAUUGUGAGCUCGGAUAAUUGAGCUCAAUUUUUUUUUCUCUUUUCCUUUUCACCUUUUGAAAAAAGUUUUUUUUAUAAAAGAUAUUCACCUAUUGUUAAAUUGGCUUACAGAUAAAUGUUAUUAAAUUAAAGGUAUGCCUUCUUUCCCAGGUUGCUAAUUGAUCAAAGUGCCACUGAGAUUUAUUUUAUAAAAGUAAUGUGUAUUGUCACCUACAUGCAAUAAUCAAAUUGCAAUAAGCAGUUGUAAAAUAAGAAGAUAUAUAUAUAUAUAUUCUUAUUCUUUGUUUGUCAAAAUAAAUAGAGACUGUGGGUACUCCCUUUGGUGAAUAAAAAAGUGGCCACCCAGAAAAUAAUUAUUCUGGUCUUAAUUCACUAAAGGCACCCCCUAGUAAUUUUUAUAAUCUUAUGGGAGACACACCACAACAAAUAUUGUCUCAAAAUGUUGUUAUAAAUUGAUUACAUUGGUUAUUGUUGAAGUUUAAAUUCUAAAUAUGUUAUAAAUUGAUUACAUGGGUUAUCAUUGAUGUUUAAGCACUAAAUAUGUUAUUGUAAAAUGUUUACAUUGGUUAAGUUCUAAAUAUGUUAUUGUAAUAUGUCCACAUUGGUCAUCUUCAAAAGCUUAAUUUAUGUUAUUGUAAUAUGUCCACAUUGGUCAUCUUCAAAAGCUUAGUUUCUGUGUCAUAAAAAAGAGAGUGUUAUCAGAAAGAUGGUUUUGGUACCAAACUACAGUGAAAAACAUAAGGUUUUAUGUAACUGUGAUAUUUAUUACUGCUCCUUUUCUGGUGUUCAAUAUGUAUUCAUGCCCUCUAAUUAUGUGGGUCUUCCAACAUAUUGUUUAUGGGAAUAACCUUUUGAUUGGGGUAUUUGCCCUUCUCUUAUGCUCCAGCCACCUAUAAAAAUAGACACACUUGUAUGCUGAUACAUAAAACUGGUAUACCCUAUAAUCCCCAGGGACAGGGGAUUGUUGAAUGAGCUCAUAAUACCCUUAAACAUCAACUUCAAAAAAUAAAAAAGGGGAGUUAUACCCCUUGUCUCCUCAGAUACCCUUUUCAUUUUGAAUUUUCCAAUGUAUGAAUAAGACACCCACCAAUAACAGGAUCAUACCAUGGGCCAGAUGUAGAGUGGACCGGCCGGCCAUCUAUAACUUCACCGAUCAACAAGAAGUGCUACAGGAUUGAGUGCCCAAUUGGACAAUUGUCAAGGUGGGGCGAAUACACAACAGCAGUUGACUGUGGGACUUUGGCGAGUGCCUUCUGGCCCUUUUCAGCCCAUGAUAUGGAAACUUAUGGUUGCUAUGGGAGGAAUAAAAAGGAUUGGUGUGGGACCAGAUUCCGGGUUGGAGGGAAACAUUACGGCUUGUGUGCCCCGACCCUAUUUACUAUUAUUGGAAGGUUUUAAGAUUGAAUAUGAAAAUGGAACUCGUCGAUUUAAUGUAAAAUGUGAUAAUUGUACAUUGUCAAAUUGUGUAAAAUUUGGGUAUCAAAAUGUUUUAAUAAUUCAUCAGCCCUCUUUUGUAAUGUUGCCGGUUAACCUUUCAGAACCAUGGUAUGCAGAAAAAGGACUUCAAAUAUUGGAGAGUCUAAAUGGUUUGUUAAAAAGAGAAAAAAGGGUGG